RNAcentral lists this ribosomal RNA (274 nucleotides) under uncultured bacterium. RNAcentral's name for it is "partial 16S ribosomal RNA". It matches the Rfam family "Bacterial small subunit ribosomal RNA", at positions 523 to 796 of the family's 1533-position model. The record is from RNAcentral.
AUACGAAGACCCCGAGUGUUAUCCGGAUUUAUUGGGCGUAAAGGGUUCGUAGAGGGUUUAGUGCGUCUCAUGUUAAAUCUUACCGCUCAACGGUAAGGCCCCAUGAGAUACGGCUAAACUAGAGGAUGUGAGAGGUCUGUGGAACGCACGGUGUAGGGGUGAUAUCCGUUGAUAUCGUGCGGAACACCAAAGGCGAAGGCAGCAGACUGGCGCAUUCCUGACCUUGAGGAACGAAAGCGUGGGGAGCGAACGGGAUUAGAAACCCCAGUAGUCC